UACGUAGGGUGCAAGCGUUGUCCGGAAUUAUUGGGCGUAAAGAGCUCGUAGGCGGUCUGUUGCGUCCGCUGUGAAAACUCGGGGCUUAACCCCGAGCCUGCAGUGGAUACGGGCAGACUAGAGGUAGGUAGGGGAGAAUGGAAUUCCCGGUGUAGCGGUGAAAUGCGCAGAUAUCGGGAGGAACACCGGUGGCGAAGGCGGUUCUCUGGGCCUGACCUGACGCUGAGGAGCGAAAGCGUGGGGAGCGAACAGG
RNAcentral lists this ribosomal RNA (253 nucleotides) under uncultured bacterium. RNAcentral's name for it is "partial 16S ribosomal RNA". It matches the Rfam family "Bacterial small subunit ribosomal RNA", at positions 524 to 776 of the family's 1533-position model. The record is from RNAcentral.